This 674-nucleotide long non-coding RNA is filed under the name Rhipicephalus microplus (southern cattle tick). Its description in RNAcentral is "uncharacterized LOC119163232". The record is from RNAcentral. Lineage: Eukaryota; Metazoa; Arthropoda; Arachnida; Ixodida; Ixodidae.
CACACACACGACCAGCCUCUUCGUUCUCUUCAGCAGCAGCACUCGAAGGCCCACCGACGCCGCCGCCAUGAUCAAGGUUCUGAUCCUCCUCGCCGUGCUGGCCCUCUUCACCGUCUCGCAGGCUGUGGCUGCGCCACAGUACUACGUCGCAGACAGUCUGUACUACGGCUACCCGUAUUCUGCCUACUACGGCGCCUACUACCCUUACUACUACUACGGGCGAUAAGCUGGAUCUCGUGCUGGCGCCGCGACAGUUCGUGGUGGUUUCUUCAAAGAAAACCUCAGCUCUCUAACGCAUUCUACUACUCCCAGCCCUUGAGAAGCACUGCCUAGUCAUUGUCUGCCUAGCCACCCUGGAAGCACUGCCUAGUCAUUUCACCACCUGUGAUGAAAAAAAAACAGCGCUAAAGAGCGGACGAAGUUUAAGGAAGACACCUCAGUCGUGUCUUCCUUAUUUGUCACUUUCUUAGCGCUGUUUAUUCAUCCCAAGUAGAAACCACUAUCAAGCCCAAGUUUCUCAUCUAGUACGUUUCAUAACGUUGAACGUCGAGCCAAACGAGCACAGACCUAAGUUCUCCUGCGUUUCUUCGAGAACACGACGACGUCCGCAAUUCUAACACCGGGCGUCUUCCUAUCUGGACACUAGAUUUUGAAAUAAAAUGUUUCUAACCAGA